RNAcentral lists this ribosomal RNA (393 nucleotides) under Hordeum vulgare subsp. vulgare (domesticated barley). RNAcentral describes it as "Eukaryotic large subunit ribosomal RNA". It matches the Rfam family "Eukaryotic large subunit ribosomal RNA", at positions 3005 to 3399 of the family's 3401-position model. The record is from Rfam by way of RNAcentral. Lineage: Eukaryota; Viridiplantae; Streptophyta; Magnoliopsida; Poales; Poaceae.
ACAGUGUCGCGAUAGUAAUUCAACCUAGUACGAGAGGAACCGUUGAUUCACACAAUUGGUCAUCGCGCUUGGUUCAAAAGCGAGUGGCGCGAAGCUACCGUGUGCCGGAUUAUGACCGAACGCCUCUAAGUCAGAAUCCAAGCUAGCAUGCGACGCCUGCGCCCGCCGCUCACCCCGACCCACGUUAGGGGCGCUUGCGCCCCCAAGGGUCCGUGCCAUGGGCUAAGUCGGUCCAGCCGAUGUGUCGUGACCGGCCGCCUCGAAGCUCCCUUCCCAACGGGCGGUGGGCUGAAUCCUUUGCGGAUGACUUAAAUACGCGACGGGGCAUUGUAAGUGGCAGAGUGGCCUUGCUGCCACGAUCCACUAAGAUCCAGCCCCAUGUCGCACGGAUUC